Molecule: ribosomal RNA, 1763 nt
Filed under: Halobacillus massiliensis
Lineage: Bacteria; Bacillati; Bacillota; Bacilli; Caryophanales; Bacillaceae
Description: bacterial LSU rRNA
Rfam family: Bacterial large subunit ribosomal RNA
Source: RNAcentral
AGGGCGCACGGUGGAUGCCUUGGCACUAGGAGCCGAUGAAGGACGGGACUAACACCGAUAUGCCUGGGGGAGCUGUAAGUAAGCUUGGAUCCCAGGAUUUCCGAAUGGGGAAACCCGCUGUUCGUAAUGGAACAGCAUCCUUCGCUGAAUACAUAGGCGUUGGACGGCAGACCCGGGGAACUGAAACAUCUCAUUACCCGGAGGAAGAGAAAGCAAAUGCGAUUUCCCAAGUAGCGGCGAGCGAAACGGAAUCAGCCCAAACCAGAAAGCUUGCUUUCUGGGGUUGUAGGACACUCCUUUGGAGUUACAAAGAGAGAGGAUAGACGAAGCGAUCUGGAAAGAUCCGCCAGAGAGGGUAACAGCCCCGUAAUCGACAUCCUUUCUUCUCCGGAGUGGAUCCUGAGUACGGCGGAACACGAGGAAUUCCGUCGGAAUCCGGGAGGACCAUCUCCCAAGGCUAAAUACUCCCUAGUGACCGAUAGCGAACCAGUACCGUGAGGGAAAGGUGAAAAGCACCCCGGAAGGGGAGUGAAAGAGAUCCUGAAACCGUGUGCCUACAAGUAGUCGGAGCCCAUUGAUGGGUGACGGCGUGCCUUUUGUAGAAUGAACCGGCGAGUUACGACCGUAUGCAAGGUUAAGCUGAUGAGAAGCGGAGCCGCAGCGAAAGCGAGUCUGAAUAGGGCGAAUAUAGUAUGCGGUCGUAGACCCGAAACCGUGUGAUCUACCCAUGUCCAGGGUGAAGGUCAGGUAACACUGACUGGAGGCCCGAACCCACGCAAGUUGAAAAUUGCGGGGAUGAGGUGUGGGUAGGGGUGAAAUGCCAAUCGAACACGGAGAUAGCUGGUUCUCUCCGAAAUAGCUUUAGGGCUAGCCUCAGAAUAGAAAGUCCUGGAGGUAGAGCACUGAUUGGACGAGGGGCCCCUACCGGGUUACCGAAUUCAGUCAAACUCCGAAUGCCAGAGACUUUGUUCUGGGAGUCAGACCAUGGGUGAUAAGGUUCAUGGUCGAGAGGGAAACAGCCCAGACCGCCAGCUAAGGUCCCUAAGUGUGUGUUAAGUGGAAAAGGAUGUGGAGUUGCUUAGACAACCAGGAUGUUGGCUUAGAAGCAGCCACCAUUCAAAGAGUGCGUAAUAGCUCACUGGUCGAGUGACUCCGCGCCGAAAAUAUACCGGGGCUAAACACACCACCGAAGCUGCGGAUUGAUCCGGAUGGAUCAAUGGUAGGAGAGCGUUCUAAGGGCUGUGAAGUCAGACCGUAAGGACUGGUGGAGCGCUUAGAAGUGAGAAUGCCGGUAUGAGUAGCGAAAAAAGAGUGAGAAUCUCUUUCACCGAAAGCCUAAGGUUUCCUGAGGAAGGCUCGUCCUCUCAGGGUUAGUCGGGACCUAAGCCGAGGCCGAAAGGCGUAGGCGAUGGACAACAGGUGGAUAUUCCUGUACCGCCUUCCUUCCAUUUGAGUGAUGGGGGGACGCAGGAGGAUAAGGAGAGCGCACCAUUGGAAGCGUGCGUCCAAGCAGCAAGACGGUCGGAAUAGGAAAAUCCGUCCGGCAACGUCGAGCUGUGAUGGGGAGGGAAAUUGAGUACCGAAGCUCCGGAUUUCACACUGCCAAGAAAAGCCUCUAGCGAGGAAGGAUGGCGCCCGUACCGCAAACCAACACAGGUAGGCGAGGAGAGAAUCCUAAGGUGAGCGGGAGAACUCUCGUUAAGGAACUCGGCAAAAUGACCCCGUAACUUCGGGAGAAGGGGUGCUCCUCUGCCGAGGAGCCG